GGGAUUUUGGAGGGAAAAAGACAUAUUUCUUAUCUCCUCAUUCUUCUGUGUAGCCAGCAGGAAGAUUCCUGGAAGAAAAGCAGAUAAAGACAGAUUGGAAACAAAAGCAAAUCCUAAGGUUCCAGGUGAAGCUGCAUCCAGGCCCCCUCCAGACCACCCUCAGCGCAGCACUGGGCUCUCGCUUGCAACAAAAGACACAAAGGAGCCAUCAGCCAGCCGGCCAGGAAGAAACCAAUGGAACAUCUGAAAAAACAAG
This 256-nucleotide long non-coding RNA is filed under the name Fukomys damarensis (Damara mole-rat). RNAcentral describes it as "lncRNA (ENSFDAG00000027656.1)". Lineage: Eukaryota; Metazoa; Chordata; Mammalia; Rodentia; Bathyergidae. The record is from RNAcentral.